RNAcentral lists this non-coding RNA (49 nucleotides) under uncultured Mamiellales. Lineage: Eukaryota; Viridiplantae; Chlorophyta; Mamiellophyceae; Mamiellales. The record is from RNAcentral.
GAUGUGACGGUGCGCCACCUGCGCUGUGCGUACCGCUUCGACGGCGACU